CGGAUUGUAGUCUGNAACCCGACUACAUGAAGCCGGAAUCGCUAGUAAUCGCGGAUCAGAAUGCCGCGGUGAAUACGUUCCCGGGUCUUGUACACACCGCCCGUCACACCAUGGGAGUCGGGAAUGCCCGAAGUCAGUGACCCAACCUUAGGGAGGGAGCUGCCGAAGGCAGGCCUGGUGACUGGGGUGAAGUCGUAACAAGGUACC
This 207-nucleotide ribosomal RNA is filed under the name uncultured bacterium. Its description in RNAcentral is "partial 16S ribosomal RNA". It matches the Rfam family "Bacterial small subunit ribosomal RNA", at positions 1294 to 1500 of the family's 1533-position model. The record is from RNAcentral.